UUAAUACCGGAUAUGACGGGCCUGCGCAUGCGGGCUUGUGGAAAGUUUUUCGGCGCAGGAUGUGCUCGCGGCCUAUCAGCUUGUUGGUGGGGUAAUGGCCUACCAAGGCUUCGACGGGUAGCCGGCCUGAGAGGGUGACCGGCCACACUGGGACUGAGACACGGCCCAGACUCCUACGGGAGGCAGCAGUGGGGAAUAUUGGACAAUGGGCGGAAGCCUGAUCCAGCAACGCCGCGUGAGGGAUGACGGCCUUCGGGUUGUAAACCUCUUUCAGCACAGACGAAGCGCAAGUGACGGUAUGUGCAGAAGAAGGACCGGCCAACUACGUGCCAGCAGCCGCGGUAAUACGUAGGGUCCGAGCGUUGUCCGGAAUUAUUGGGCGUAAAGGGCUCGUAGGCGGUUUGUCGCGUCGGGAGUGAAAACCAGGUGCUUAACACCUGGCCUGCUUUCGAUACGGGCAGACUAGAGGCAUUCAGGGGAGAACGGAAUUCCUGGUGUAGCGGUGAAAUGCGCAGAUAUCAGGAGGAACACCGGUGGCGAAGGCGGUUCUCUGGGAAUGUCCUGACGCUGAGGAGCGAAAGUGUGGGGAGCGAACA
This 596-nucleotide ribosomal RNA is filed under the name uncultured bacterium. Its description in RNAcentral is "bacterial SSU rRNA". It matches the Rfam family "Bacterial small subunit ribosomal RNA", at positions 163 to 774 of the family's 1533-position model. The record is from RNAcentral.